RNAcentral lists this unclassified non-coding RNA (272 nucleotides) under Hevea brasiliensis (rubber tree). The record is from RNAcentral. Lineage: Eukaryota; Viridiplantae; Streptophyta; Magnoliopsida; Malpighiales; Euphorbiaceae.
GUUUUGAGCUUCUUGAGAUGCUUAAAGCACACAAGAAAGGUAUCCGUCGAGCCACAGUGAAUACAUUUGGGUAUAUUGCUAAAGCGAUUGGACCUCAGGAUGUGCUUGCAACAUUGUUGAACAAUCUUAAGGUGCAGGAACGUCAGAACCGUGUCUGUACCACUGUCGCUAUUGCUAUUGUUGCAGAAACCUGUUCUCCCUUUACAGUCUUGCCUGCCUUGAUGAACGAAUAUCGCGUGCCUGAGCUUAAUGUCCAGAAUGGUGUCUUGAAA